This is a long non-coding RNA of Betta splendens (Siamese fighting fish), 1649 nucleotides long. NCBI's taxonomy places the organism in Eukaryota, Metazoa, Chordata, Actinopteri, Anabantiformes, Osphronemidae. The record is from Ensembl.
AGCCAUUCAAGUGCUAAUGACAAACUGACUCUAGCUCAGACACUUUAUCAAUAUUUUCAGGAUUACUAGUAGAAUGGUUUUAUGUGAGGACCUGCUGCCUUUAAUUAUUUUUACUGCUCCCUGUGUCACAGCAUUAAAUUUUAAUUCCAGUAUUUCUUUUUUUCCUGGCAAGUUUAAAAAGUUACACCCUUUCUUAAAAAUAAAAUUGUCAGAAUAAUUUAGGGGUUUAAGCGUUUCAUCCUUGCAGAGAGGCAUUUAUUUGCUUCCUCUGCCAGAGGGGCACUGCAGCAUGAAGGCAAUGCAGCAUUUCAGCAGGUGUAACAGCUCAAAAUCGAAUUUUCCACGUUUCUUAUCAAUUCUGAGCUGGACCAGUCACAAGGCUGAGAUUAACACCUCCUAAACCUCUUGUAUGGAGAUACAGCAGGUGGCAGAAUCUAACAUAUGACCAACAGACACUGUGUAUGCUGGACAUGUUAUGAACUUCCUGUUCAGUGCAAAGCAAAAGCAUGAGCUAAAAACAACAACCCAAAACUACCGCUCUCCCGUCUGUCUUGGUGCUAAACGGGUCCACAGCCAGGCCUUUAGUCCAUCACACCAACAUAGUGACCUGUGCACACGUAUUGGGCUGUGGGCCGAAGAUUGGGUCUAAACUUCCAGAAUGAGUUGGACGUCCAUCUCCCAUGAAUAGAUGCAUCCCUAUGUGACUUCCCUAUGUGCAAACUGCAGUAAGUGUUCACUCAGUUUCAUUUAUGGGGACUGACUUACUAAAAAUUGAUUGUGCUAUUAUUUAUUACAGCCAAUGAUUUUGAGCCAUUUAAUCUAAACACUAGUACUGUAGCUAGUGGCAAAUCGUAAUUGAACGUAUACGAACAAUCUAAAAACGCAGACACAACAGCUGAGCUGACUGAAAAGCAGUUUUGCUUUUUGAUUAUAUGAAUGAAUGAGAAGCAUGUGGUCUGUGAAGGCUGGGCCGACCCUGGCAAGGCACCCAGACGAGGAUUUCCUGGGUAAUGUGUGCUGGAUUCGACAAAGGAGGAAUGCACACACGCAGGUAUGCAUGCUCGUGUUUUUAAAUGAACACUCACCAGGCGUUUAGCGGCGCAGUCGAAUGAAAACACUGGUGACUCACUGUGACACUGACGCUCUGAUUUUAGGAAGCUUUAAAUGAAUCCCUGCAUGUUCAGUCUGGUGACAUCCGGCAUCUGAACUGAGAAAGGCCCUUAAUGUUUUUGUUGCCUUGGUUUUAUUGAGGAAAACAAAGCAUCUUUCAACGUGAUGGGUCAAGUGUGGGCAAAGUGUGAAUUAGUGGUUAGUGUACAACGCCCACGGGACCUGUGCACGUCUUCACAGUGUGACACCAACCUCAUAACGCGGCAGGCGGCUGCUGGUGACUCGUCCUGAGGUUUGGGUGCUCACGCAAACACACAGGAAGCACAGCAGGUCACGAUUUGCUCCUCGACACACAGACGCUCACGUUCCCUGUUCGGAUGCUUCGUUUCCUGAGUGUGUUUAUGCUGAAGUGCAACACCGGUUCCAAGUAAAGCGAGGUGGCUGCACUUAAAACGAAGCUGGCAGACCACUGAUCAUAAUGAUUCAUUCUACUCUAAACAGGGAACGGGGCCAGAGGGGCCAGCAGCGGUGAGCUGAAU